This 445-nucleotide ribosomal RNA is filed under the name uncultured bacterium. Its description in RNAcentral is "bacterial SSU rRNA". It matches the Rfam family "Bacterial small subunit ribosomal RNA", at positions 991 to 1439 of the family's 1533-position model. The record is from RNAcentral.
CUGCAUAAGCUAGAGAUAGCUUUUUCUUCGGACUGCCUGCAAGGUGCUGCAUGGUUGUCGUCAGCUCGUGCCGUGAGGUGUCAGGUUAAGUCCUAUAACGAGCGCAACCCCUACCGUUAGUUGCCAGCAUGUCAAGAUGGGGACUCUAACGGGACUGCCGGUGCAAACCGCGAGGAAGGUGGGGACGACGUCAAAUCAUCACGGCCCUUACGUCCUGGGCUACACACGUGCUACAAUGGCCGGUACAGAGGGAAGCCACCCCGCGAGGGGGCGCGGAUCUACAAAACCGGUCACAGUUCGGAUCGGGGUCUGCAACUCGACCCCGUGAAGCUGGAAUCGCUAGUAAUCGGAUAUCAGCCAUGAUCCGGUGAAUACGUUCCCGGGCCUUGUACACACCGCCCGUCAAGCCAUGGAAGCCGGGAGUGCCUGAAGUCCGUCACCGCAA